UUUAUGGAGAGUUUGAUCCUGGCUCAGGAUGAACGCUGGCGGCGUGCCUAAUACAUGCAAGUCGAGCGAACGGACGAGAAGCUUGCUUCUCUGAUGUUAGCGGCGGACGGGUGAGUAACACGUGGAUAACCUACCUAUAAGACUGGGAUAACUUCGGGAAACCGGAGCUAAUACCGGAUAAUAUUUUGAACCGCAUGGUUCAAAAGUGAAAGACGGUCUUGCUGUCACUUAUAGAUGGAUCCGCGCUGCAUUAGC
Molecule: ribosomal RNA, 255 nt
Filed under: Staphylococcus aureus
Lineage: Bacteria; Bacillati; Bacillota; Bacilli; Caryophanales; Staphylococcaceae
Also listed under: 1 other name
Description: partial 16S ribosomal RNA
Rfam family: Bacterial small subunit ribosomal RNA
Source: RNAcentral